UGAGCAAUCUGCCCUUCUCAUCGGAAUAAGCGUUGGAAACGACGUCUAAUGCCGAAUACGACCUCCUUUCGCAUGAUCGGAGGUGGAAAGCUCCGGCGGAGAAGGAUGAGCUCGCGGCCUAUCAGCUAGUUGGUGUGGGUAAUGGCCCACCAAGGCGUCGACGGGUAGCCGGCCUGAGGGGUGACCGGCCACACUGGGACUGAGACACGGCCCAGACUCCUACGGGAGGNAGCG
RNAcentral lists this ribosomal RNA (234 nucleotides) under uncultured bacterium. RNAcentral describes it as "partial 16S ribosomal RNA". It matches the Rfam family "Bacterial small subunit ribosomal RNA", at positions 118 to 353 of the family's 1533-position model. The record is from RNAcentral.